AUCCCUACGGGAGGCAGCAGUGAGGAAUAUUGGUCAAUGGACGAGAGUCUGAACCAGCCAAGUAGCGUGAAGGAUAACUGCCCUAUGGGUUGUAAACUUCUUUUAUAAAGGAAUAAAACGAGGCACGUGUGCCUUUUUGCAUGUACUUUAUGAAUAAGGAUCGGCUAACUCCGUGCCAGCAGCCGCGGUAAUACGGAGGAUCCGAGCUUUAUCCGGAUUUAUUGGGUUUAAAUGUAGCGUAGAUGGGUUGUUAAGUCAGUUGUGAACGUUUGCUGCUCAACCGUAAACUUGCAAUUGAUACUGGC
This 305-nucleotide ribosomal RNA is filed under the name uncultured bacterium. RNAcentral describes it as "bacterial SSU rRNA". It matches the Rfam family "Bacterial small subunit ribosomal RNA", at positions 335 to 637 of the family's 1533-position model. The record is from RNAcentral.